CAGCAGCCGCGGUAAUACGUAGGGUGCAAGCGUUAAUCGGAAUUACUGGGCGUAAAGCGUGCGCAGGCGGUUGUGUAAGACAGAUGUGAAAUCCCCGGGCUUAACCUGGGAACUGCAUUUGUGACUGGCGGGCUAGAGUAUGGCAGAGGGGGGUAGAAUUCCACGUGUAGCAGUGAAAUGCGUAGAGAUGUGGAGGAAUACCGAUGGCGAAGGCAGCCCCCUGGGCCAAUACUGACGCUCAUGCACGAAAGCGUGGGGAGCAAACAGGAUUAGAUACCCUGGUAGUCCACGCCCUAAACGAUGUCAACUAGUUGUCGGGUCCUCAUUGACUUGGUAACGUAGCUAACGCGUGAAGUCGACCGCCUGGGGAGUACGGUCGCAAGAUUAAAACUCAAAGGAAUUGACGG
Molecule: ribosomal RNA, 407 nt
Filed under: uncultured bacterium
Lineage: Bacteria
Description: bacterial SSU rRNA
Rfam family: Bacterial small subunit ribosomal RNA
Source: RNAcentral